GCAUCUUUUUAUUUUUAAAAGACCUAGCAAUAGGUAUGCUUAGGGAAGAGCUUGCGUCACAUUAGUUAGUUGGUGGGGUAAUGGCCUACCAAGACGAUGAUGUGUAGCCGGGCUGAGAGGUCGAACGGCCACAUUGGGACUGAGACACGGCCCAAACUCCUACGGGAGGCAGCAGUAAGGAAUUUUCGGCAAUGGAGGAAACUCUGACCGAGCAAUGCCGCGUGAACGAUGAAGUAUUUCGGUACGUAAAGUUCUUUUAUUAGGGAAGAAAAGAUGGUGGAAAAACCAUUAUGACGGUACCUAAUGAAUAAGCCCCGGCUAACUAUGUGCCAGCAGCCGCGGUAAUACAUAGGGGGCAAGCGUUAUCCGGAAUUAUUGGGCGUAAAGGGUGCGUAGGCGGUUAAAUAAGUUUAUGGUCUAAGUGCAACGCUCAACGUUGUGAUGCUAUAAAAACUGUUUAGCUAGAGUUGGAUAGAGGCAAGUGGAAUUCCGUGUGUAGUGGUAAAAUGCGUAAAUAUACGGAGGAACACCAGAAGCGAAGGCGGCUUGCUGGGUCUUAACUGACGCUGAGGCACGAAAGCGUGGGGAGCAAACAGGAUUAGAUACCCUGGUAGUCCACGCCCUAAACGAUGAGUACUAAACGUUGGAUAAAACCAGUGUUGAAGUUAACACAUUAAGUACUCCGCCUGAGUAGUACGUACGCAAGUAUGAAACUUAAAGGAAUUGACGGGACUCCGCACAAGCGGUGGAUCAUGUUGUUUAAUUCGAAGGUACCCGAAAAACCUCACCAGGUCUUGACAUGCUUUUGCAAAGCUGUAGAAAUACAGUGGAGGUUAUCAGAAGCACAGGUGGUGCAUGGUUGUCGUCAGCUCGUGUCGUGAGAUGUUGGGUUAAGUCCCGCAACGAGCGCAACCCUUGUUGUUAAUUGCCAUCAUUAAGUUGGGGACUUUAGCAAGACUGCCAAUGAUAAAUUGGAGGAAGGUGGGG
This 987-nucleotide ribosomal RNA is filed under the name Candidatus Phytoplasma solani. RNAcentral describes it as "bacterial SSU rRNA". It matches the Rfam family "Bacterial small subunit ribosomal RNA", at positions 173 to 1178 of the family's 1533-position model. Lineage: Bacteria; Bacillati; Mycoplasmatota; Mollicutes; Acholeplasmatales; Acholeplasmataceae. The record is from RNAcentral.